UAACACCACUAUAUCACGAUACUGGAGAACCACUAUAUCACGAUACUGGAGAACCACUAUAUCACGAUACUGGAGAUAAUGAACAGGGUGAGGUAACACCACUAUAUCACGAUACUGGAGAUAAUGAACAGGGUGAGGUAACACCACUAUAUCACGAUACUGGAGAUAAUGAACAGGGUGAGGUAACACCACUAUAUCACGAUACUGGAGAUAAUGAACAGGGUGCGGUAACACCACUAUAUCACGAUACUGGAGAUAAUGAACAGCUCAGGGUGAGAACACCACUAUAUCACGAUACUGGAGAUAAUGAACAGCUCAGGGUGAGGUAACACCACUAUAUCACGAUACUGGAGAUAAUGAACAGCUCAGGGUGAGGUAACACCACUAUAUCAUGAACAGCUCAGGGUGAGGUAACACCACUAUAUCAAAGCUCAGUUCAUUAUAUCUUGUCUGUGUUUAUAAUAUGAUGUUUAAUAUCUUGUCUGUGUUUAUAAUAUAAUGGUUAAUAUCUUGUCUGUGUUUAUAAUAUAAUGGUUAAUAUCUUCCCUGUGUUUCC
Molecule: long non-coding RNA, 556 nt
Organism: Oncorhynchus keta (chum salmon)
Lineage: Eukaryota; Metazoa; Chordata; Actinopteri; Salmoniformes; Salmonidae
Exons: 4
Source: RefSeq, a predicted model, not a curated record